This 336-nucleotide ribosomal RNA is filed under the name Helicobacter pylori. RNAcentral describes it as "bacterial LSU rRNA". It matches the Rfam family "Bacterial large subunit ribosomal RNA", at positions 1831 to 2167 of the family's 2925-position model. Lineage: Bacteria; Pseudomonadati; Campylobacterota; Epsilonproteobacteria; Campylobacterales; Helicobacteraceae. The record is from RNAcentral.
UCGUAAGAGGAAGUAUAAGGUUGACGCCUGCCCGGUCUCAAGGUUAAGAGGAUGCGUCAGUCGCAAGAUGAAGCGUUGAAUUGAAGCCCGAGUAAACGGCGGCCGUAACUAUAACGGUCCUAAGGUAGCGAAAUUCCUUGUCGGUUAAAUACCGACCUGCAUGAAUGGCGUAACGAGAUGGGAGCUGUCUCAACCAGAGAUUCAGUGAAAUUGUAGUGGAGGUGAAAAUUCCUCCUACCCGCGGCAAGACGGAAAGACCCCGUGGACCUUUACUACAACUUAGCACUGCUAAUGGGAAUAUCAUGCGCAGAUAGGCUGGGAGGCUUUGAAGUAAGG